CGACGCCUAGCGGGAGAGACCGGCCCUCAAGGCCGGCGCCGAAGGAGCAACCGCCCCGGAAACUCUCAGGCAAAAGGACCGCCUGGCGUCA
Molecule: non-coding RNA, 91 nt
Filed under: Aurantimonas sp. Leaf443
Lineage: Bacteria; Pseudomonadati; Pseudomonadota; Alphaproteobacteria; Hyphomicrobiales; Aurantimonadaceae
Also listed under: 1 other name
Description: Glycine riboswitch aptamer
Rfam family: Glycine riboswitch aptamer
About the family: This family represents the bacterial glycine riboswitch. Glycine riboswitches usually consist of two metabolite-binding aptamers domains with similar structures in tandem.
Source: Rfam by way of RNAcentral